RNAcentral lists this transfer RNA (75 nucleotides) under Ophiodes striatus. RNAcentral's name for it is "tRNA-Ile". The record is from RNAcentral. Lineage: Eukaryota; Metazoa; Chordata; Lepidosauria; Squamata; Diploglossidae.
GGAACUGUGCCUGAACUAAAGGGUUACUUUGAUAGAGUAAACUACAGAGGUAUUAACUCAACCCUCUCACUUCCU